GGAUGUGAGGGCAGUCCAGCUGAGACAUCUUCACUCCAUUGAUCACCAGGGUUGAUUCAGCUGAUCUAACUGGCUAGGCUGGGGUUUCCUUCCUCCCUUACUAAUCUCAAUGCUUUCCUCCAGAAGCUGCAUGUUGGGUCAAAGCUGCUCCCUUAUAGAGGAGGACUAUCUUUCUGUCAAGAAUAUACUAGUAGCUGUAUUCCUCUACUAGAACCUCCAAACAAGCUCUCAAAAUAAUAAGAGCAAAAAUGGACUAGGGUUAUAGCUCAAGCCAUAGAGCACAUGCUGAGUUA
Molecule: small nuclear RNA, 293 nt
Filed under: Castor canadensis (American beaver)
Lineage: Eukaryota; Metazoa; Chordata; Mammalia; Rodentia; Castoridae
Description: 7SK RNA (ENSCCNG00000001437.1)
Rfam family: 7SK RNA
About the family: 7SK was discovered as an abundant small nuclear RNA in the mid-70s but a possible function has only recently been suggested. Two independent studies have found that 7SK RNA binds the CDK9/cyclin T complex (known as elongation factor P-TEFb).
Source: Rfam by way of RNAcentral